GUUGGGAUUUCACGGGUCUAGAAUGUUUAGGGGUUGAGAUUUGGUGGUUAUGGUGGUGGUGUCUUGGCAAAGGAGUGACAGUGAGUGAUGCUGGUGUGGUGAUUAAAUAAUAGUGGGCUUGUGGAGGUGGUUAACAUCGAACGUGGUGAAAAGGCCCCCCUUUUCUCUUUCUAUUUUUAUUAUUUAAUGGUGGCGUGUGAGAGGGACGAUAGGAAAAUGUCCAACAUGGAUUUUUUAUAAUUUAUUUUUUUGAAAAUUUUUAAUAUAUUAUGUAAUUCAUAUCAUAUAAAUUUUAUUUUACUUAAAUCAAACGAAAGAAGGG
RNAcentral lists this long non-coding RNA (322 nucleotides) under Gossypium raimondii (Peruvian cotton). Its description in RNAcentral is "long non-coding RNA (GRAI_LNC009792)". Lineage: Eukaryota; Viridiplantae; Streptophyta; Magnoliopsida; Malvales; Malvaceae. The record is from RNAcentral.